RNAcentral lists this long non-coding RNA (1860 nucleotides) under Phaseolus vulgaris (common bean). Its description in RNAcentral is "long non-coding RNA (PVUL_LNC000427)". The record is from RNAcentral. Lineage: Eukaryota; Viridiplantae; Streptophyta; Magnoliopsida; Fabales; Fabaceae.
UCAAUUCCUUUCCAACCAUGCCAGUGAUAGAAACACUUGGUGGUGCUCUUUUUGGUGCUGUUCUUCAGCAGCUGUUUGACAGGCUUGAUUCUCGUCAAGUUUUGGACUACUUUCGUGGAAGGAAGCUCAAUGAGAAGCUGCUGUACAAGUUGAAGGUGAAGCUGUUGUCCAUCAAUAAUGUGAUAGAUGAUGCAGAACAAAAGCAGUUCAUUAAUUCAUAUGUGAAAGCAUGGCUUGAUGAAGUCAAAGAUGCUGUCUUUGAUGCAGAGGAUCUGCUGGAUGAAAUAGACUAUGAGUUUUACAAACGCAAGUUGAAAGCUGAAUCUCACACCAGCAGUAAAAAGGUAUGGAAUUUCUUCAAGGCUUCUCCCAAAAGUUUCUUUGACAAGAAAAUUGAGUCAAGGAUGGAACAAGUCCUUGAGCAACUAGAAUUUCUUUCAAGCCAAAAGGGUGAUCUUGGUUUGAAAUAUGUUAGUUGUGCUGAUGUUGGGUCAGAAUUAGUUAGUAAAGUAGCACAGAAGCUUCCAUCAACAUCUUUGGUGGUUGAAAGUGUUAUUUAUGGCAGAGAGGAUGAAAAGGAAAUGAUUCUUAAUUGGCUGAGUUCUGACACUGACAAACAUAACCAGGUAACAGUGCUUUCUAUUGUAGCUAUGGGUGGGAUGGGUAAGACUACACUUGCCCAACAUGUUUAUAACAAUCCAAGGAUUGAGGAGGCUAAAUUUGAGCUCAAAGCCUGGGUCUGUGUUUCGGAUGAAUACAAUGCUUUCAAGGUAACCAGAGAAAUUCUUGAGGCAAUCAAUAAUUCAAAUGAUGAUAGCAGAAACCUAGAAAUGGUUCAGGGACGAUUGAAAGAAAAACUGACAGGAAGGAAGUUUCUCCUCGUUCUGGAUGAUGUUUGGAAUGAAGAUCGAGACCAAUGGAAAUCAUUGCAAACUCCUCUUAAAUAUGGAGCUAAGGGAAGUAAAAUUCUUGUCACCACACGCAGUAACAAAGUUGCUACUACUAUGCAGUCACAUAAAGUACAUGAAUUAAAGCAGUUGGAAGAAGAUCAUAGUUGGCAAGUUUUUGCUGAACAUGCAUUUCAAGAUAAUAAUCAUCAAUUGAAUGCUGAAGUGGAGAAAAUUGGUAAGAAGAUAGUCGAAAAGUGCAAAGGAUUGCCUCUGGCCUUGGAAACAAUUGGAUGUCUAUUACACACAAAGUCAUCUGUUUCAGAGUGGCAGAGUGUAUUGGUAAGCAAAAUAUGGGACUUACCCAAAGAAGAUAGUAAAAUCAUCCCUGCUCUAUUAUUGAGCUAUUACCAUCUUCCUUCGCAUCUCAAGAGGUGUUUUGCUUAUUGUGCCUUAUUCCCUAAAGAUCAGGAGUUUGACAAGGAGAGUUUAAUUUUGUUAUGGAUGGCUGAAAAUUUUCUACAAUGCUCUCAACAAAGUAAGAGUCCAGAAGUAGUUGGUGAACUGUAUUUUGAUGAUCUAUUUUCAAGGUCUUUCUUUCAAAAAUCAAUUAAAGACAACAAAACAUGUUUUGUCAUGCACGACCUUCUCAACGAUCUGGCUAAAUAUAUUUGUGGGGACAUAUGUUUCAGGCUUGGAGUUGAUGAAGAAAAGACAACAGUAAAAAUCCGCCACUUAGCAUUGGUAACUAAUGAAGAUCAAUAUUCAGAUGGAUUUAGGAGUUUGUGUAAUGCUAAAAGGCUACGUACAUUUAUGCCAACAAGUAGGAGAAUGAACAUUGAUUAUUAUUGGGAUUGCAAGAUGCAGAUGGAUGAAUUGCUAUCAAAGUUUGAGUUCUUACGCGUCUUAUCUUUGUCUUGCUGUCGUGGCCUUAAAGAGGUGCCUGGUUUGGUAGGUGAUCUUAAGCAUCUCC